UUGAAAUAUCCAGUUUCCUACCUGGUACCUUAAAUCAUUACUUUUUCCGUAGGGAUAACUGGUGAACUAUCUCCAAAAUAUAUCCUUCUUGUCCGUUGACUCAGAUAGCUCAUUGGGAAGAAGCCAGCUGUCUCCUCUGGGAUGCUGGCUGGCCUUUGAGGUGGGCCCUGGAGCUACUGCCUGGGGAUCAAUGUACUACCACAACACAGACUAAAUUCCUGGUCCCUUGGGAUAUACCUCCAGUGUAAGACCUCCAGGAAGGACUCCUGCUAGGCCCAAUCACAGAGACUAGUAGGUGUGGUCAGAAAGCCCGGGGCACAGCCUGAUUGGUCAUUGUACAGGCGCGUUACCACUAAGGCUGAGCUUUAGGAGAAGAGCAAGACAAUAUCAAUGGCUAGUGGGGUUCACAUGAAGGCAAGACAUGGACAGCUGCUCCUUCAUCCGUGUUUUUAUCCCCAAGGAACAGCUUUGUGAAAGUGCUCUGUGCUCUCAAGCUGUUGCCAGCAGGGUCUGUCUCUUCAGCGUGGCUUUUAAGAGGAAAGUGCAGCAAACUGGAGCCUUAGCAAAAGGCUGCUCGCUAGCAUGAGAAGCAUUUGAUUCCAGCUUGGAAACAAGGGGUGGGGCAAAGCCUUUUUACCACCUCCACCCCAUCUCUCCCUCUCUCCCUUUCAGAAAGGCAGAUUUAUCUAGUGGUGCAUCCCUUGCCUUCAUGUCAGAGUGUCAGCUUUGUCAUAUUCCUGACUGUUGUUACUAGAAUUUUUUUAAGAUUUAUUUAUUUUAAGAUGUAUUUAUAGAUACUUUUUGCCUGCACACAUAUCUCUGUGGGGGUGCUCUGGAACUAGAGUAUGUGGGUUGUGGGAAUUGAACCCCAGUCCUCUGGAGGAGCAGCCAGUGUUCUUAAUCACUGAGCCAUCUCUCCAGUCCCAAUUACUGGAAUUUCAUAUGAAAGCAAAACCACGGCAUAAAUCUUAGCAAAUUUGAAUUCCAUACUUUUUACCUUUUUCCAUUCACCAGAGAUGAGAUGCAGGUAUAUUCACGUUAAAACAAAAAUGCAAACAAGUCAGAUAAUUAAAAGGAAAUCCAGAUGAUGCUCUCAAACCUGAAGAAACACUUGUGGAGCCAGAUGGAAGCAGAGUAGAGUUGGACUCUGUCACCAUCCCAAGGGAACGAAGCAUCAUGGGCUCUGAUUUGUUCACUUGUUUCUUUAUGUGCGUAUGUACAGGAAUGUAUACUUGUGCUUGCAUGGAAGUCAGAAGAGAGCAUCCUGUCUCCCUCUCCAUCACUGUCUUCUUCCUCUGAGCCAGGGUCUGUCCCUCAACCCAAGGCUCUUGGUCUUCUUGGUUAGGCUAGAAGGCAGCAAGUCCCAGCAAUCCCCCAGUCUCCGGCCCCUUAAUGGAUCAGUCUGGGGGUGUAGAGUGUCUGUGGGAUCCAAACUUGAGAUCGUAGCAAGCGAUCUUAACUGUUGAGCCCUCUUUCCAACUGCUCCCUGUCUUGACAGCAAGAAAAAUCCCAACAUAUACUCUGAGGUCAUGUUGGAACCAUGUGUUUGGAGACAGCAGAGGUUUGGGACAAUCUUUCCAAUCAGGAUGACUCACAGCUGUGAUCAGGGCUUUCUCUUUUAUCAGCUAUACUAUCAGAAAAGAAGACCCUUGUGAGCACAGUGUCUGCCUCAAGCUCUUCAUCUUUUCCACUGUUACAAAAUCUCUGGGGGAGGAUUACACACAGGAUCAUGAGUCCUGUGUAUGAAAUUAUGAUGACUUAUGAAUGAUUACAUUCAUCACAAUUACUGUGAAUAAAAAAUGUUAUGUUUUAAAGGAACACUGGGGAAAUUAUGAAAAGUGAAUUAAGCCAAGAACAAAAGGACAAAUCCAUAUUGCCUGAUUUGUUUUAUAUGAGGUGCUUAAGUGGUAAAUUCAUGGAGAGAGAGAAACAGAAGGGGGGCUGUGGAGACAGUCCUGAAGAGUUAACAGGACCACAGUGUCUUCUGGAAUAAUGUGAAAAUUGUAAAUGUGGAUGCUGGCAAUGACUAUAUAAGCCUAAAUGCCCCUGAAGUAUAUCCUUAAAGAGUGGGUAAAACAAUAUACUUUGUUAUGCAUAUUUCAGUAAGGGCUGUCUUAUUCGUAUUUUUAAAAUUAUAACACAACUGAACUUACAUAUGUCCUAAAUUGUUACUCCUGGGAGUGCCAAAACAUCAGGAGCUGCACUGUGGAGGCCAGCUCUGGACAUUCUCAGUAGAAAGCAUUAUUUCUGCAGAACAGAGGACGUGAGAGCAGAUGGGGCAGGUGGGAGAGGAGGGAUGACCCCAAAGUGCAAGCUGAAGCUCCUGGAAGCUGUGGACUCGCUUUUGAGACAGCUGCUAGCACCCACAUGUACUUCUGUACAAUGACCUUACUGCACACUGCACUGUGCAGUGGACUACUCUCCUGUCUGGAAAGCCACGAUGUUUUGUUACAGCAACAGAAACGGAACUGACACAUAACACCUACAGGUGUGUAACAGCAGGCUUUUUGUGCCCGACUCUUUCCCAGACACACCAAGGAACUGGGCCUCUGAACUGAGAUCCUCAGAGAGAGCCAUUUUCUAAGGAAUAUGCUGUCUAAAUACAUUCGUGUACACUUCAACUCCAUUUGCAACUGUGUUCACAUGUCAAAAGACCCUGGUUGAUUCAGAGAAACAGAGGGCCUCCUCCUGCUGGAGGAACAUGGCUCCCCAGGCAGGGAGAGAGAUGGAUCAUAAGAGACAGAUCCAGCCUUUGCCUUUGUCCCAUGGUUUCUCCCCCAACCCCUCCUCAGUGACAUUCAUCUUUACUUUCUGCUUCAAGGCCACUCAGACUCAGCAGACCUGCACCUUCCCUGGACUUAAGCUAAUGCACACCUGAGCUGAGACAGUUCAGAAGGCCUCCCUGCUGGCGAAACAAUGGGUUCACUUAAAAUCCAUGUCAAGUGGCCACUAACUUGAAACACCUGAAGAGCAGAGGGUUUGGGCCUAGUGAGAAAUUAGAAUUGUUGGGGGGCUAGGAGUAGAGCGUGUGGCAGAGUGCUAGUAUGUGAGAGGCCCUGGGCUUAAUCCCAGCACCUCAACUAAAAC
Molecule: long non-coding RNA, 3087 nt
Filed under: Mus musculus (house mouse)
Lineage: Eukaryota; Metazoa; Chordata; Mammalia; Rodentia; Muridae
Description: long non-coding RNA chr8:79305874-79308961
Source: RNAcentral